This 262-nucleotide ribosomal RNA is filed under the name uncultured bacterium. RNAcentral's name for it is "partial 16S ribosomal RNA". It matches the Rfam family "Bacterial small subunit ribosomal RNA", at positions 524 to 784 of the family's 1533-position model. The record is from RNAcentral.
UACGUAGGGCGCAAGCGUUAUCCGGAAUUAUUGGGCGUAAAGGGCUCGUAGGCGGUUUGUCGCGUCGGGAGUGAAAUCCACUGGCUUAACUGGUGGCUUGCUUUCGAUACGGGCAGACUGGAGGUAUGCAGGGGAGAACGGAAUUCCUGGUGUAGCGGUGAAAUGCGCAGAUAUCGGGAGGAACACCUGUGGCGAAAGCGGCUCACUGGACCACAACUGACGCUGAGGCGCGAAAGCUAAGGGGAGCAACAGGGAUUAAGAA